RNAcentral lists this ribosomal RNA (622 nucleotides) under uncultured Cortinariaceae. Its description in RNAcentral is "eukaryotic LSU rRNA". The stretch from base 213 to 366 matches the Rfam family "5.8S ribosomal RNA". Lineage: Eukaryota; Fungi; Basidiomycota; Agaricomycetes; Agaricales; Cortinariaceae. The record is from RNAcentral.
GNUGCUGACUCUCUCGGGNNCNUGUGCNCACUUGUCAUCUUUAUAUCUCCACCUGNGCACCUUUUGUAGAUCUGGAUAUCUUUCUGAAUGCCUGCAUUCAGGUUUGAGGAUUGACUUGUCUUUCCUUACAUUUCCAGGCCUAUGUUUCUUCAUAUACACCAUGUAUGUUAUAGAAUGUAAUGAAAAGGGCCUUUGUGCCUACAAACUUAUACAACUUUCAGCAACGGAUCUCUUGGCUCUCGCAUCGAUGAAGAACGCAGCGAAAUGCGAUAAGUAAUGUGAAUUGCAGAAUUCAGUGAAUCAUCGAAUCUUUGAACGCACCUUGCGCUCCUUGGUAUUCCGAGGAGCAUGCCUGUUUGAGUGUCAUUAAUAUAUCAACCUCCUCAGGUUUUUACUUGUCGAGUGUUUGGAUGUGGGGGGUUUUUUUUGCUGGUCUCUCUUGAGAUCGGCUCCCCUGAAAUGCAUUAGCGGAACAAUUUGUUGACCCGUUCAUUGGUGUGAUAACUAUCUACGCUAUUGACGUGAAGCAGGUUCAGCUUCUAACAGUCCAUUAACUUGGACAAAUUUUCAUUAAUGUGACCUCAAAUCAGGUAGGACUACCCGCUGAACUUAAGCAUAUCAU